GACGAACGCUGGCGGCGUGCUUAACACAUGCAAGUCGAACGGAAAGGCCCUGCUUUUGUGGGGUGCUCGAGUGGCGAACGGGUGAGUAACACGUGAGUAACCUGCCCUUGACUUUGGGAUAACUUCAGGAAACUGGGGCUAAUACCGGAUAGGAGCUCCUGCAGCAUGGUGGGGGUUGGAAAGUUUCGGCGGUUGGGGAUGGACUCGCGGCUUAUCAGCUUGUUGGUGGGGUAGUGGCUUACCAAGGCUUUGACGGGUAGCCGGCCUGAGAGGGUGACCGGCCACAUGGGGACUGAGAUACGGCCCAGACUCCUACGGGAGGCAGCGGUGGGGAAUAUUGCACAAUGGGAGCAAGCCUGAUGCAGCAACGCCGCGUGCGGGAUGACGGCCUUCGGGUUGUAAACCGCUUUAGCCUGUGACGAAGCGUGAGUGACGGUAAUGGGUAAAGAAGCACCGGCUAACUACGUG
This 468-nucleotide ribosomal RNA is filed under the name uncultured bacterium. Its description in RNAcentral is "partial 16S ribosomal RNA". It matches the Rfam family "Bacterial small subunit ribosomal RNA", at positions 28 to 507 of the family's 1533-position model. The record is from RNAcentral.